GUGGGGAAUUUUGCGCAAUGGGGGAAACCCUGACGCAGCAACGCCGCGUGAGUGAUGAAGGCCUUCGGGUCGUAAAGCUCUGUCAGAGGGAAAGAAGUGCGAGAGGGUUAAUACCCCUUUUGCUUGACGGUACCCUCAAAGGAAGCACCGGCUAACUCCGUGCCAGCAGCCGCGGUAAUACGGAGGGUGCGAGCGUUGUUCGGAAUUAUUGGGCGUAAAGCGCGUGUAGGCGGUCUUUUAAGUCUGAUGUGAAAGCCCCGGGCUCAACCUGGGAAGUGCAUUGGAAACUGGGAGACUUGAAUACGGGAGAGGGUAGUGGAAUUCCUAGUGUAGGAGUGAAAUCCGUAGAUAUUAGGAGGAACACCGGUGGCGAAGGCGGCUACCUGGACCGAUAUUGACGCUGAGACGCGAAAGCGUGGGGAGCAAACAGGAUUAGAAACCCUAGUAGUCC
This 451-nucleotide ribosomal RNA is filed under the name uncultured bacterium. RNAcentral describes it as "partial 16S ribosomal RNA". It matches the Rfam family "Bacterial small subunit ribosomal RNA", at positions 354 to 796 of the family's 1533-position model. The record is from RNAcentral.